RNAcentral lists this transfer RNA (69 nucleotides) under Dipodomys ordii (Ord's kangaroo rat). It matches the Rfam family "tRNA". From Rfam's summary of the family: Transfer RNA (tRNA) molecules are approximately 80 nucleotides in length. Their secondary structure includes four short double-helical elements and three loops (D, anti-codon, and T loops). Lineage: Eukaryota; Metazoa; Chordata; Mammalia; Rodentia; Heteromyidae. The record is from Rfam by way of RNAcentral.
GGGAAUGUGGCUUAGUGGUAGAGUGUUUGCCUCGCAUGCAUAAGCCCUGGGUUCAAUUCCUCAGUACCA